This 497-nucleotide ribosomal RNA is filed under the name uncultured bacterium. RNAcentral describes it as "partial 16S ribosomal RNA". It matches the Rfam family "Bacterial small subunit ribosomal RNA", at positions 28 to 507 of the family's 1533-position model. The record is from RNAcentral.
GAUGAACGCUGGCGGCGUGCCUAAUACAUGCAAGUCGAGCGAACGGACGCUAAGCUUGCUUCUCUGAUGUUAGCCGCGGACGGGUGAGUAACACGUGGAUAACCUACCUAUAAGACUGGUAUAACUUCGGGAAACCGGCGCUAAUACCAGAUAAUCUUUUGAACCGCAUGGUUCAAAAGUGAAAGACGGUCUUGCUGUCACUUAUAGAUGGAUCCGCGCUGCAUUAGCUAGUUGGUAAGGUAACGGCUUACCAAGGCAACGAUGCAUAGCCGACCUGAGAGGGUGAUCGGCCACACUGGAACUGAGACACGGUCCAGACUCCUACGGGAGGCAGCAGUAGGGAAUCUGCCGCAAAGGGCGAAAGCCUGACGGAGCAACGCCGCGUGAGUGAUGAAGGUCUUCGGAUCGUAAAACUCUGUUAUUAGGGAAGAACAUAUGUGUAAGUAACUGUGCACAUCUUGACGGUACCUAAUCAGAAAGCCACGGCUAACUACGUG